AGUGAACGCUGGCGGUAGGCCUAACACAUGCCAGUCGAACGGCAGCACAGUAAGAGCUUGCUCUUACGGGUGGCGAGUGGCGGACGGGUGAGGAAUACAUCGGAAUCUACUUUUUCGUGGGGGAUAACGUAGGGAAACUUACGCUAAUACCGCAUACGACCUACGGGUGAAAGCAGGGGAUCUUCGGACCUUGCGCGAUUGAAUGAGCCGAUGUCGGAUUAGCUAGUUGGCGGGGUAAAGGCCCACCAAGGCGACGAUCCGUAGCUGGUCUGAGAGGAUGAUCAGUCACACUGGAACUGAGACACGGUCCAGACUCCUACGGGAGGCAGCAGUGGGGAAUAUUGGACAAUGGGCGCAAGCCUGAUCCAGCCAUACCGCGUGGGUGAAGAAGGCCUUCGGGUUGUAAAGCCCUUUUGUUGGGAAAGAAAAGCAGCAGGUUAAUACCCCGCUGUUCUGACGGUACCCAAAGAAUAAGCACCGGCUAACUUCGUG
RNAcentral lists this ribosomal RNA (492 nucleotides) under uncultured bacterium. RNAcentral's name for it is "partial 16S ribosomal RNA". It matches the Rfam family "Bacterial small subunit ribosomal RNA", at positions 29 to 507 of the family's 1533-position model. The record is from RNAcentral.